UACAGAGGGGGCAAGCGUUGUUCGGAAUUACUGGGCGUAAAGGGCGCGUAGGCGGCCGCCUAAGUCAGACGUGAAAUCCCUCGGCUCAACCGGGGAACUGCGUCUGAUACUGGGUGGCUUGAAUCCGGGAGAGGGAUGCGGAAUUCCAGGUGUAGCGGUGAAAUGCGUAGAUAUGUGGAGGAACACCAGUGGCGAAGGCGACUCUCUGGGCUGUAACUGACGCUGAGGCGCGAAAGCGUGGGGAGCAAACAGG
RNAcentral lists this ribosomal RNA (253 nucleotides) under uncultured bacterium. RNAcentral's name for it is "partial 16S ribosomal RNA". It matches the Rfam family "Bacterial small subunit ribosomal RNA", at positions 524 to 776 of the family's 1533-position model. The record is from RNAcentral.